RNAcentral lists this ribosomal RNA (492 nucleotides) under uncultured bacterium. RNAcentral describes it as "partial 16S ribosomal RNA". It matches the Rfam family "Bacterial small subunit ribosomal RNA", at positions 29 to 507 of the family's 1533-position model. The record is from RNAcentral.
AUUGAACGCUGGCGGCAUGCUUUACACAUGCAAGUCGAGCGGUAACAGGCCUUCGGGUGCUGACGAGUGGCGAACGGGUGAGUAAUGCAUCGGAACGUACCCAGAGGUGGGGGAUAACGCAGCGAAAGCUGUGCUAAUACCGCAUGUGAUCUGAGGAUGAAAGCGGGGGACCGAGCAGCAAUGUUUGGCCUCGCGCCUUUGGAGCGGCCGAUGUCGGAUUAGCUAGUUGGUGGGGUAAAGGCCUACCAAGGCGACGAUCCGUAGCUGGUCUGAGAGGACGACCAGCCACACUGGGACUGAGACACGGCCCAGACUCCUACGGGAGGCAGCAGUGGGGAAUUUUGGACAAUGGGCGCAAGCCUGAUCCAGCAAUGCCGCGUGCGGGAAGAAGGCCUUCGGGUUGUAAAGCGCUUUUGGCAGGAACGAAACGGUGUCCGCUAAUACCGGGCGCUAAUGACGGUACCUGCAGAAUAAGCACCGGCUAACUACGUG